Molecule: ribosomal RNA, 254 nt
Filed under: uncultured bacterium
Lineage: Bacteria
Description: partial 16S ribosomal RNA
Rfam family: Bacterial small subunit ribosomal RNA
Source: RNAcentral
UACGAAGGGGGCUAGCGUUGCUCGGAAUUACUGGGCGUAAAGCGCACGUAGGCGGCUUUCUAAGUCGGGGGUGAAAUCCUGGAGCUCAACUCCAGAACUGCCUUCGAUACUGGAGAGCUCGAGUCCGGGAGAGGUGGAGUGGAACUGCGAGUGUAGAGGUGAAAUUCGUAGAUAUUCGCAAGAACACCAGUGGCGAAGGCGGCUCACUGGCCCGGUACUGACGCUGAGGUGCGAAAGCGUGGGGAGCAAACAGG